RNAcentral lists this unclassified non-coding RNA (343 nucleotides) under soil metagenome. RNAcentral describes it as "partial contains 5.8S ribosomal RNA, internal transcribed spacer 2, and large subunit ribosomal RNA". The stretch from base 1 to 120 matches the Rfam family "5.8S ribosomal RNA", at positions 35 to 154 of the family's 154-position model. The record is from RNAcentral.
GAUGAAGAACGUAGUGAAAUGCGAUAAGUAAUGUGAAUUGCAGAAUUCAGUGAAUCAUCGAAUCUUUGAACGCACAUUGCGCCCGCCAGUAUUCUGGCGGGCAUGCCUGUUCGAGCGUCAUUUCAACCCUCAAGCCCCCGGGCUUGGUGUUGGGGAUCGGCGUGCCCUCGCGGCGCGCCGUCCCCUAAAUCUAGUGGCGGUCUCGCUGUAGCUUCCUCUGCGUAGUAGCAACACUCGCACUGGAUCGCAGCGCGGCCACGCCGUUAAACCCCCCACUUCUGAAAGUUUGACCUCGGAUCAGGUAGGAAUACCCGCUGAACUUAAGCAUAUCAAUAAGCGAGGA